GCUGAUAUGGUGUGUUUACUGCCAUCGCCUGUGAUGCCGAUGACCCCAGCCCACUUUCUGCUGUAUUUAAACCCAGGCAUACACUUUAGAUUCCCAUCAUUACAGUGUCCCAACUUGGAAAAAUGUCCAUGAUGAAGAGGUCAGUGUUUGUGGGAAUCUUCCUGCUUGCUCUCGUCUCUGUGAUCCAUGCUGGAUGCAAGUUUGAGAAGCUAGAACAAGGUGCGACUCGAUGUGAGGAUGACUUUGAUAAAACGAUCCAUCCGAUCGGAACCACCUGGAAAAACAGCAUGUGUGAACGCUGCUCAUGCAAAGCCACUUUUAAAAGCUGCUGUACCGGAUGGCCAACAAGUGCAUCUGGAGACUGCACCAUUAAACAUGAUUUUAAAACCUGUACAUUUGAAGUGGUUCACCUGUAUAAAGACGCUCCCUGUAUGGUUAUUGGAAAGUGAUUGUAAAGAUGAGAGAGAAACUGAGAGUUUUUAAUAUCAAACAAUUAAGAGAGCAGAAAUACAAAUAUAAUGUGAUGAUAACUUAGAACCUAUAAUAAAGAUUUACUUACUGAUUUUUUAUAUAUAUAUUGUGGCUUGAUGUGUCAGAAAAGAAGACUGGAGCGUCUGGUUUAAUUAAGAAAAGCCUGUUUAAUGUACAAUACUUUGCUGAGAAAAAUGUAAUCUGUUGGAAAAAUCAGAUGAACUGAUCCUGAACUCAAACAGGUGGAUGUCGGUGCAAGAAAGAUAGUGAUAAUAGUGAAGCAAAAACAGACCAAAACCAGAAGGAUGUAAUGAAGAGUUCUCUUAACUAAUGGAGAUCAGCUAGAAAACAGGAAGCAGGAGCGUUAGAGUUCAGGUGAGGGUGAAUGAUGGGAAGUCUGGAUGGAGGAUGGAGAUGAAAUGGUGGCUCCUGGAUGUGUGGUGGAGAUGGAUGUGAUUUUAACCUCCACCUCACCUCCUCUAACCCUUCACACUUGGAAUAAAACAAACAUUUUGGAUUUUCAAUAAAAAAAAAGCUGUGUGCUUUACAAGCUAAAUUUUAUUCGUUUGGUGCUUGUAAAGAUGUACACUGUCAAUAAACAGCUUUAUAGAAAUAAAUACAGGACGUAAAUUUUUUAUUUAUCCCUUAUUUACAUUUCCAGAGUGACUUACAUUUUUAUCUCAUUUCAUACAAGAUUACAUUUAUGAUUUUGUUUAGGCCCCAUUCAUCACAUACGACUCACAAGAUGCCAUGUAUAAAGACCACGCGUGGAAUGCAUUUAACAUUUUCCGCUCUCGUAGCUAACCUAGGGUUCUCUUGGCUCAGCAAACGCAUCUCAAACUCAUUGGUAUUGAUUUUUGUUCAUAGUUGCUCUCUGCAUCUUUCUUUUCUUUUCUUCACUUAAGAAACUCUCUAAGUACAGCAUUGCACAAACCUUGCUGUUUACUGCCAUCGCCUUUCAUGCCAACGACCCCAGUCCUCUUUAUGCUGUAUUUAAACCCAUGCCACUAAUUUAGAUUUACAUAAUUACAGUGUCUCAAUUUGGAGAAAUUAUGAGUCGACCUAACAAUAUUAUAAGGAGUUAUUUCCCAAAGUAGAUUGUUAUUACAUGUAAUGACUCGUAGGUUUCAUUAACAUUUCCUGAUAUUAAGUGGAUGUGUUAAUCUUGGUUCAUACAGAAUGGCAAGUUUUGUGAAUGCAUUUGUUGAAAUGGUUGCUCUAAUAGUUAUGAAUUAUAAAAAGUGCCCAUUGGUAGUUCAGUUAAUCAUGUUAAUGAAGAAUUAUAACAUACAGUAAGUAUCAGCAACUACGAUGAUAUAACUAUUACAAUUAUUUAGUCCAGUGAAACCUGUUCACAGCAACAGGAAUUAAUGUUUAUGCACUUUUAUAUUUUAUAUUGUACACAUUGUAUAAAAUUUUGGAAUAUAUACGUAUUUUAUUCUACUUUAUUGUCAUGGGUAUUUUUGUGUAGAUUCAUGACAUAUAAUCCUUUACAGUUCCACAUUAUAACAAAACAAGAUGUGUAAAACCUCAGGGAGGUAAAUACUUAUGUAAGGUGCUGUAAUGGCUGUGAAGUUGAGAGUUGAUAAAUAAUGUACCGUAAGGGUAAAGAAAUCUUAACUUCAGGAUCUGGAGAUCUCUUAAAGAAACAGAGAGACUUUUUUUGUUUUAUUUGCUUUUUUGGUCCCAAUAAUAAAGAGCUCAGUGUUUGUGGGAAUUUCCCUGCUUGCUCUAGAUGGAAACCCUACGACAAAGUAGAUAUUUACACACCCACACUUGGCUUUUAACUAAAUUCAGAGAAAAAGCUAAUAAUAUUUAUUGUUUCUAUAGUUUAUAUAGUUUGCCUUUGUACUUUUUCCAAACCUAUAAGGGCAUCUACAUCACAUUACUCCUGCUUCAACUUGUGUAGCGCGAUUGGAUGCCCAGGAUGUGACAAGCAACACAGCGACUCAUUCCCUUCUCAGGGAACAGGGUUAGAUACGUAGCCUGGUGUAGUUCCCUUCAUGGCUGAUGCUAUGGGAACAUCAAAACCCCUGCUGCCACAUGCUGGUUGAUGUCUGUCCCAGAGUCCAUGAGAGAGUACAAGCAAACCGGAACCAGAACAUCAAUUAGCCCUGAAGGACCUGGGUACCUGAAGUGGGGUCCAGGUUAUAGAACUUGAUAAAGGUGUGCAGAGAGGAUGCAGCACACAUUUCUUGGAGAGGAACACCCCUGACCAGGGCACUAGAUGUGGUGAUACCCCUAGUAGAAUAAGCAUUGACACCUAGAGGCCUGGGUAAUUGCCUCUACUGUGCAACAAGUGUUGCUUGGAGACCGGAUUGCCCUUGUUCUGGCUCCCAAAGCAGACAAACAAAGAGGAGGACUUGUGCCACAAGCUCAAGUGAAGGACAUUAGUUCUCAGAGGCUUUACCAGGCAAAGCAAGUGCAGCCUCUCCUGUUCCGCUGACUCAUGGGGCAAAGGACAGAAGGCCUACAAGGUGUCCAGACAACUGACCAUCCUGGGCACCUUGGGGAUGUAUUUUGCCCUAGGGUGCAGGAUAGCCUUCGACAUGCCAGGGGCAAAUUCUAAGCAGGCUCAGCCACCUGGCACAGCACAGAAAACCAGAGACCAGAGGUUGCCUAUCCAAGGAGGCCCCAAGGACAGGUUUGUGAUUCGCCGCAAUGGUGGCCACAAACACUUUUAAAGUGUGGGGGACAGCCCCUGAGAAAGGUAAGACUGCAGAAACUCCAGCACUGUAACAACCGGGCAGUGAACUGGGUCCUGAAAACAUUGAUCACACCAGUGGCAAAAAAGCCUCCACUUAAGAAUGUACAACUUUCUAGUGGAGGGAGCCCUAGUGUUCAACAAAAUCUCCACUACCUUAGAUGAGAGGCCUGCCUCUAGGAACUGGUCCCCCUCAGGGGCCAGCCUUGUUUUUUAAGCCCUCAGCAUCUGCCUCAACAGGAAGUCUGCAUCCCGAUUUACAUGCCCUGGGAUGAAAAUUGCUCUCAGUGAAAGAAACCUGGCCUCUGCCCAUAGCAGAAUCUGCUGCCUCAACCUAAACAGGGGGCACGAACACAGCCCUCCCUGAUGACACUAACACAUGGUAGCCCCUGAGGUGUGGGAGAAAGUGUUACAAUGCUAGAAACAUGACUCUCACUUUCUGGCAAUUUAUUUGCCAAGACUGCUCCCCAGCCAGAAAGUGAGGCAUAUGUUGAAAUUGUCUUGUGACGAUGACCCGCCCCUAAAGUGGGACCCGGGGUAUUUUCCAUAUUAGAAGAGUAUGAAGCCAUGGCACAUGACCCUUAUUACCCUGAGGUGAUGCCACCAGGGAUGAAAGCUCACACGGCCUUGUGUGAAGCAGGCCUAAAUGGAUAACAUUGGUUGUCACUAUCUGCAUCUCAGUGACAGAGAGGCUUUGGCCUCCUAUGGGCAAGCACAGCAUCUCAAUGGCUGGCCACCAUAGCCUUCAACUGGGCCAGAAUGAGAAUGUUAAUUCAGUACAUGGAUGCUCUUAAGACACAGCAGCACCAGGGCAGCAUCCAUGCACUUCCUAAAUGUAUGUGACCAUAGGGCUAGACCAAAAUGUAGAACAUAAUACUGGUAUGCUUUGCCCAUGAAAGCAAACCAGAGGAACUUCCUCUGCUUUGGCAGAAUGCCUCUGUUGAAAUAGGCAUCUUUGAGGUCUAUUGUCACAAACAGUCCUCAGACAUAAUCUGCGAUGCAAGAAGAUGGUGUGUGAGCAUCUUGAAUAUCGUGCACAGUUCAGAACCCGCUGGUUCAAAAUUGGACUUAGCCACCCAUCUUUCUUGGGAACAACAAAACACCGGCUGUAAAAGCCUGAGUCUUGAUCUGGGAGGGGAACAUGUUCUAUGGCCAUUUUCCUCAGAAAUGAGAGAAGUUUCCCUUGGAGGAACAAGGUUUGGUGUUCGCCUGGUUGGAGCUGGAAGACAUCCCAGACUGCUUACUGCAGUGGGGGAUAAAUUUCCUGAAUGCCACCGACUAGCACUUUACCUCAAGGUGCCUGUCAACAACAGUAUUCACUGUGUCACUAAACAGGCCUUUGGGUGAAAUUGGGGUGUCCAGGAGAAAGGACUUAUUUAAUCCCUGUUUAAUUAACCCACAGGUGCCUUUCCAUGGCAACUAACACAGCCAUAGAAUGGCCUAUGGCAAGGGCCGUUUGCUUCGUGGCACGGAGUAUGAGAUCUGUGGCUUUGCAGAGCCUGCCAUGUAGGCCUUCCCCACAGUGGCUGAGGUGGCUCUACAUGGCUUAGAAGGGAGUGCAGGCUUUCUGGAUAUGGGUGAUGUAGGGGAGAGAUAGCUUGCAAGCAUCUCUUCAACCCUAGGCAAGGCUGCAUAUUCAUAGAUAAUAAGCCCCACAAUGGCUGAAUAAUUAAAAUGGGCAGAAUAGGGAUUCCCCUAGGAUCUCAAUACCUCAGCAUGGAAGUCUGGGAAAAAUGUCAGUUGCCUGCAUGGGGGUGGAAGGUGGCCUGAAGCUUAGAACAAAUGACCCAAACUUCCUCCUCAGGCCAAUUUAAAUGUAAUUUAGCAAUGGUGAGCUCCUCGAAUUUCACUGAUUGCAUGGCACAGAAGCUUGGCUGGAAAAUACAGUCAAAUGGGAUUGGAACUUGUGAAGACUAAUCCUCUCACAAUGCAUGCAACCGGCCCCCUCAGUAGCAAACCAGGAAUGCUCCUCUCCCAAACAAUCAAUGCAAAGAGAUUAUGUGUUGUCCUCCAUGAUAUAUCGGGCACGGAUGCAUACACCUCUUAAACUGCUUUCUCGCUAUGAUAUCUUUUUUCUCCUAGUCUAGACAGACAGGACAAACAAUUGACAUAAACAUACACAGAGCACUUCCUGAAAACAAAGAAGCUGGAGUAAUGUGACAUAGAUGUCUUUAUAUGGACUUGUAGGCACGUAUUCCCUUCAUCACAUGUUAUAUCUGAGAUAUUAAAGUGCUUCACAGAGCUUCAGACUCUUCCUCAAUGAAGUGUUCCCAUAGCAUCAGCCAUGACACAGCAUCGAGUUCCAUUGAAAGGGAACCCCUAUUCUUUUCCAGUACUAACACUGAUAAAAAAGAUGUCCAAACAGCCGAGUCUUCAAACAGUGGCAGUCUUGAAACAGCGUCUAAAACCCAAAGUCUUCAUGGAGAACUUAAUAUAGCACUUAAAACCUUCUAGUCUAUGUGCUUACUGUAUUUCCUCCUGACAGAGUGAACCGGUAUCAGGGUGUAUUUAUUGAUACAGACUUCAGAUCACUUCUGGAUAAGGAGGAUUGAAGAAAUGCUGUAAAUGGACAUGUUCUGCAGCUGCAGAAUGAUCUGAUUGAAUAACUGCAUGAAUGAUCAGUUGUAUAGGUGUUCUUAAUAAAGUGGGAAUGAGUGUAUAUUACACCAUGAUGCUGAGCACUGACUCAGGUGUGGGUCAUUGUAAGGAUGAAUUUGAUAAAAUGUUCUAUCCGAUUGGAACCAACUGGAGAAACAGCAUUUGUCAUCGCUGCACGUGCAAGUCUGCUUACAAAGCUGCUUUAUCGGGUAAAUACGCACAGGCUAGUAUAAUGCUCUUACAGCCAAAAUAUGUGCAACACAAACCAUUUCUAGGGUUAGCUUGAAAUCAGCUGUGGCAUAGUUAAUCACAGUGUGUGUGUGUGUGUGUGUGUGUGUGAUUCCCCUGGCUCCCCUGGAAUAGACUCCAGGCUCCUUGUGACCCUGUGUAUGAUACCCAGUACAGAUUAAGAAUAAAUGGACUGAUAGUUUGAACUUGAACCAGUUUGAUGGCUUGCUAACUAUUUCACUUUAGCCGCCUAAUUAAAACGUGCUUAAUGAUGAAAUUAGUUAGCUUCAAAAAUAAAAAUAUUCUAUCUGUUGUAGGAAUGGCAAAAAAGUUACAUCUAUUUGUUUUUUGUAAUCCUUUUACAAAACGUUCAAAAUUUAAUGUACAAUUUAACAGCAAUCCAAAAAAUAAGGCAGAAACAUUUUGAAAAGGUGUUAUGCCUUGAUCAUCUGGAUUUCGAGACCUGACUAGCUAAAUUUAGAGAUAGCACCAAUAAAUCACCAUGGAUGGGCAAAGAAACGUAAGUCAGACGAUAUGCUAAACAUUAGAGACAAAUAUAAAGGCAAUCCAAAUAGCUUUCUUUCUUUCUUUCUUUCUUUCUUUCUUAGUUUUGUUUCUUUCUAUUAUUCUAUCAAUGAUUACUAAUAAAGAUAACAUUACCAAGUCGAUGUUUAGUUUGAGUCUUUAAUGUCUCCUUUGAAGAACUCACACUACAGUUUGAGGUUUUCAUGGUAGUUGGUUGUCCUGGGUUUAUGAGAACGUGUGUGUGUGUGUGUGUGUGUGUGUGUGUGCGCGUGUGUGAGUGUGCUAGAAAACAGGAUGCAGGAUCAUUACCUUCACCUCACCUCCUCUAACAGUUUACACAAGCAAAGCAUUUUGGAUUUGCUUUCCAAAAAACUGAGCUGCAAGCUGUAAAAUUUGAUUCAUUCAUGUUUCCAUAUUAAAUUUGAACAUUUUAUCAAUCACAUAUUUAAUUAAAAAUCACAUUAAUUCAAUUCAAUUUUAUUUGUUUGGUGCUUGUAAAGAUGGACAAUGUCAAUAUGCAGCUUUAUAGAAAUAAAUACAGGAUAUACAUUUUAAAUGAAUAAAUGUAUCCCUUAUGAUGCUGCCAGAGGUGAUGAAGGAGAUGGUAUGAGGAAGAAACCUGGAGAGGAACCAGACGCAAAAACGAACCCAUCUUCAUCUAUUAGUUUUUAUAUUUGUUUCUCCCAGGAAUUUGAGCAUGAAGUAUAUUAAUGAAGUAUAUAAAACUUUUUAAAUAAAAUGAGGAUGAGGAUCUAAUGAUGAUGAUGAUGUAAAAGCUAUGAUUUCUCUGUAAGGGUAACUCUGUUAGUGUUCACUCAGGUUUAUUAUCUGCUUCUGGGUUCACAUUUCUUGGAUUAUACCUUUGACUUUUUGUCUGUUGACUUGGAGUGAUCACUGGAAGUAUGUGUAAUGCCACUAAUCGAUUGUCAGGAUGACGUGGAUGUGACAUGACACGGCACCCGGUCUUAUCCAGAUGGACAGACAGCAUGUGUGCAGGGUAAGCAUGCACUGUGGAAAUGAUGGAAUGCCGUGACACUUAAACACACACUGGAUACUGUACUGCAGCAACAUGUUUGUAUGUAAUGUAAAACAUUUCACUGUUGGCGAGUCAGAGGACAUAUUUGUAUCUCGAGACAUUUGGUAGAUGCGCUUAUACAGAGCAACUUAAGGGCCUUGCUCAAGGGCCUAGCAGUGGCACCUUGGUGGAUCUGGGAUUCAAAGUCACAAACUUCCAAUCAGUAGUCCAACGCCUUAUUAUUAUUACGUUAAUGUAGAUUACUGCGUCACACUAUUAAUAAACACAAUCACAAUUAGUUUGCUUCAUUCAGGCAUCAAAUCAAAACAAACACAGCUGCUAAAAAUAAUGUUAAAAGAUGUUAAUGAUAGAGUUGUGUACGGUGUAUGCUCUAUGUAUUGCUGAGGCAAAAGCUUGCGUCGCCAAAAUAAUUUGGAUGGGAAAAGAAAAUUGUAAAGCCUUUUUUUUUUGGAAAAUAUUGAAAUUUUUCAUUUUUUCGGAUUGUACCUUCAACUUUGUAUAUUUGGCUCUUGUAUAUUUAUAUGUAUUUUUGUAAAUAGACAAUAUUUCUUGGAAUUACAUAAAAGUGAAUUACUCAACUAACAGCAUGAGGAGAAACCUGAUGAUGAUGAUGAUGAUGAUGAAGACGUGAAAUCUAUGAUUUCUCUGAAAGAUUAACCCUCAUUGAGUAAACUCUGCAAUUACGUAAAUUCUAUUUCUAUGGAGUAUUUACUGGAAUUGUGUGUGAUGCCUUUAUGUCCAGCCCUCUUUCUGCUCUAUUUAAACGUGAGUAUUUGCUUCAUGUCAGAGGUUCUGAAAGAUCAGAAUAAGGGUUGUAAGACUGUAAAACUGUGGAAAUGUUUAAUGAGCAAGUAGUCUGUGAAAAGUCCAUGAUAAAGAGAUCUGUGUUUGUGGGUUUUAUCCUGCUUGCUCUCGUACCAUUGAUUCGUGCUGCUUGCUGGACUCAACCGAACAGUCCUGGUGCGACUCAUUGUCAAGACCACCUGGAUAAGACGUGGCACCCGAUCGGGGCCAAAUGGUUUAACAGCAGGUGCACAAGGUGCACAUGUGGUCUGGAUGGGAUGCAUUGCUGUGACAC
RNA transcript from Hemibagrus wyckioides, 8640 nucleotides. It is a transcript of the gene named beta-microseminoprotein-like, with no coding region annotated. The transcript has 7 exons. The record is from RefSeq and is a predicted model, not a curated record. Lineage: Eukaryota; Metazoa; Chordata; Actinopteri; Siluriformes; Bagridae.